GCCCUCGUAGCUCAUCUGGAUAGAGCGUUUGCCUCCUAAGCGAAAGGUAACAAGUUCGAAUCUUGUCGAGGGCGCCA
RNAcentral lists this transfer RNA (77 nucleotides) under Gammaproteobacteria bacterium. Its description in RNAcentral is "tRNA-Arg". It matches the Rfam family "tRNA". From Rfam's summary of the family: Transfer RNA (tRNA) molecules are approximately 80 nucleotides in length. Their secondary structure includes four short double-helical elements and three loops (D, anti-codon, and T loops). Further hydrogen bonds mediate the characteristic L-shaped molecular structure. tRNAs have two regions of fundamental functional importance: the anti-codon, which is responsible for specific mRNA codon recognition, and the 3' end, to which the tRNAs corresponding amino acid is attached (by aminoacyl-tRNA synthetases). tRNAs cope with the degeneracy of the genetic code in two manners: having more than one tRNA (with a specific anti-codon) for a particular amino acid; and 'wobble' base-pairing, i.e. permitting non-standard base-pairing at the 3rd anti-codon position. RNAcentral also lists the same sequence under 1 other name. The record is from RNAcentral. Lineage: Bacteria; Pseudomonadati; Pseudomonadota; Gammaproteobacteria.